Molecule: small nucleolar RNA, 104 nt
Organism: Sapajus apella (tufted capuchin)
Lineage: Eukaryota; Metazoa; Chordata; Mammalia; Primates; Cebidae
Product: small nucleolar RNA U13
Exons: 1
Source: RefSeq, a predicted model, not a curated record
AUCCUUUUGUAGUUCAUGAGCAUGAUGAUUGGGUGUUCAUGCAUGUUUGUGAGAUGUACCACCCUUGAACCUUGUUAUGACAUCAGCACCUUACCCGUUAGACC